GCUUAACACAUGCAAGUCGAGGGGCAGCAUGGUCUUAGCUUGCUAAGGCUGAUGGCGACCGGCGCACGGGUGAGUAACACGUAUCCAACCUGCCGUCUACUCUUGGCCAGCCUUCUGAAAGGAAGAUUAAUCCAGGAUGGCAUCAUGAGUUCACAUGUCCGCAUGAUUAAAGGUAUUUUCCGGUAGACGAUGGGGAUGCGUUCCAUUAGAUAGUAGGCGGUUUAACGGCCCACCUAGUCAACGAUGGAUAGGGGUUCUGAGAGGAAGGUCCCCCACAUUGGAACUGAGACACGGCCCAAACUCCUACGGGAGGCAGCAGCGAGGAAUAUUGGUCAAUGGGCGAUGGCCUGAACCAGCCAAGUAGCGUGAAGGAUGACUGCCCUAUGGGUUGUAAACUUCUUUUAUAAAGGAAUAAAGUCGGGUAUGCAUACCCGUUUGCAUGUACUUUAUGAAUAAGGAUCGGCUAACUCCGUGCCAGCAGCCGCGGUAAUACGGAGGAUCCGAGCGUUAUCCGGAUUUAUUGGGUUUAAAGGGAGCGUAGAUGGAUGUUUAAGUCAGUUGUGAAAGUUUGCGGCUCAACCGUAAAAUUGCAGUUGAUACUGGA
Molecule: ribosomal RNA, 604 nt
Filed under: uncultured Bacteroidales bacterium
Lineage: Bacteria; Pseudomonadati; Bacteroidota; Bacteroidia; Bacteroidales
Description: bacterial SSU rRNA
Rfam family: Bacterial small subunit ribosomal RNA
Source: RNAcentral